Pelobates cultripes (western spadefoot toad) is the source of this 202-nucleotide non-coding RNA. NCBI's taxonomy places the organism in Eukaryota, Metazoa, Chordata, Amphibia, Anura, Pelobatidae. The record is from the annotation of a GenBank genome assembly.
AACAAAAUAUACUAUCCAAAUAUGGACAACAUUUCUAGAAAAGGUAGGGGACAAAAAUAAAUUCCAGGCAGAGGCACCAUUGAUGGCCUUAAAGUCUAUCACGACAGACAUACGCUUACACAAGUGGUCGUUGGCAGGAAUAACACACAUACACCAAUUACUUAAAUCCCAAAAAAUGAUGACAUUCCCCGACAUACAACAC